Molecule: ribosomal RNA, 602 nt
Filed under: uncultured bacterium
Lineage: Bacteria
Description: bacterial SSU rRNA
Rfam family: Bacterial small subunit ribosomal RNA
Source: RNAcentral
CCCGCACAAGCGGUGGAGCAUGUGGUUUAAUUCGAAGCAACGCGAAGAACCUUACCUGGCCUUGACAUCCCGAUGAAUGCAGGGCAAUGCCUGCAGCCCUUCGGGGCAUUGGAGACAGGUGGUGCAUGGUUGUCGUCAGCUCGUGUCGUGAGAUGUUGGGUUAAGUCCCGCAACGAGCGCAACCCUUACCCUUAGUAGCCAGCACGUAGAGGUGGGCACUCUAGGGGGACAGCCUGGGAUAACCAGGAGGAAGGCGGGGACGACGUCAAAUCAUCAUGCCCCUUAUGGCCAGGGCUACACACGUGCUACAAUGGCGUCGACAGAGGGAAGCGAGACAGUGAUGUGGAGCGAAGCCCAAAAAAGGCGUCUCAGUUCGGAUUGCAGCCUGCAACUCGGCUGCAUGAAGCCGGAAUCGCUAGUAAUCGCGGAUCAGAACGCCGCGGUGAAUACGUUCCCGGGUCUUGUACACACCGCCCGUCACACCAUGGGAGUCGGGAAUGCCCGAAGUCGGUGCCCUAACGAAAGAAGGAGCCGCCGAAGGCAGGCCCGGUAACUGGGGUGAAGUCGUAACAAGGUAGCCGUAAGGGCGAAUUCGCUUGCGA